Molecule: ribosomal RNA, 466 nt
Filed under: uncultured bacterium
Lineage: Bacteria
Description: partial 16S ribosomal RNA
Rfam family: Bacterial small subunit ribosomal RNA
Source: RNAcentral
GAUGAACGCUGGCGGCGCGCCUAACACAUGCAAGUCGAACGAGCGAGAGAGAGCUUGCUUUCUCGAGCGAGUGGCGAACGGGUGAGUAACGCGCGAGGAACCUGCCUCAAAGAGGGGGACAACAGUUGGAAACGACUGCUAAUACCGCAUAAGCCCACGGCUCGGCAUCGAGCAGGGGGAAAAGGAGCAAUCCGCUUUGAGAUGGCCUCGCGUCCGAUUAGCUAGUUGGUGAGGUAACGGCCCACCAAGGCGACGAUCGGUAGCCGGACUGAGAGGUUGAACGGCCACAUUGGGACUGAGACACGGCCCAGACUCCUACGGGAGGCAGCAGUGGGGAAUAUUGCACAAUGGGGGAAACCCUGAUGCAGCGACGCCGCGUGGAGGAAGAAGGUCUUCGGAUUGUAAACUCCUGUUGUUGGGGAAGAUAAUGACGGUACCCAACAAGGAAGUGACGGCUAACUACGUG